GGAGAUGUGGCUCAGUGGUUAACAGUGGUUAAGACUGCUCUUCCAGAGGUCCUGAGUUCAAGUCCCAGCAACUGCA
Molecule: transfer RNA, 76 nt
Filed under: Mus musculus (house mouse)
Lineage: Eukaryota; Metazoa; Chordata; Mammalia; Rodentia; Muridae
Description: tRNA-Ser
Source: RNAcentral